This 491-nucleotide ribosomal RNA is filed under the name uncultured bacterium. Its description in RNAcentral is "partial 16S ribosomal RNA". It matches the Rfam family "Bacterial small subunit ribosomal RNA", at positions 29 to 506 of the family's 1533-position model. The record is from RNAcentral.
AGUGAACGCUGGCGGUAGGCCUAACACAUGCAAGUCGAACGGCAGCACAGUAAGAGCUUGCUCUUACGGGUGGCGAGUGGCGGACGGGUGAGGAAUACAUCGGAAUCUACUUUUUCGUGGGGGAUAACGUAGGGAAACUUACGCUAAUACCGCAUACGACCUACGGGUGAAAGCAGGGGAUCUUCGGACCUUGCGCGAUUGAAUGAGCCGAUGUCGGAUUAGCUAGUUGGCGGGGUAAAGGCCCACCAAGGCGACGAUCCGUAGCUGGUCUGAGAGGUUGAUCAGCCACACUGGAACUGAGACACGGUCCAGACUCCUACGGGAGGCAGCAGUGGGGAAUAUUGGACAAUGGGCGCAAGCCUGAUCCAGCCAUACCGCGUGGGUGAAGAAGGCCUUCGGGUUGUAAAGCCCUUUUGUUGGGAAAGAAAAGCAGCAGGUUAAUACCCCGCUGUUCGGACGGUACCCAAAGAAUAAGCACCGGCUAACUUCGU